Molecule: small nucleolar RNA, 97 nt
Gene: U3
Rfam family: Small nucleolar RNA U3
About the family: Small nucleolar RNAs (snoRNAs) are involved in the processing and modification of rRNA in the nucleolus.
Source: Ensembl
AAGACUAUACUUUCAGGGAUCAUUUCUAUAGUUCGUUACUAGAUUGUGGUAUCUAGGACUGUGAGAGAAUAAACAUUUAAAGCCAUCAGCUGGUGGU